Molecule: unclassified non-coding RNA, 238 nt
Filed under: Hevea brasiliensis (rubber tree)
Lineage: Eukaryota; Viridiplantae; Streptophyta; Magnoliopsida; Malpighiales; Euphorbiaceae
Source: RNAcentral
CGGCCGUAUCGAUGCAUUUAUUGCAGCUGCGGGAACUGGUGGCACUGUGGCUGGUGUUUCCAGGUUUCUCCAGGAGAAGAAUCCAAAUGUUAAGUGUUUCCUCAUAGAUCCUCCUGGUUCUGGACUGUUCAACAAGGUGACUAGAGGAGUUAUGUACACCAAAGAGGAGGCUGAGGGACGAAGAUUAAAGAAUCCUUUUGACACAAUAACUGAAGGAAUAGGAAUCAAUAGAUUAACG